GCUGGGCAUAGUGGCCUAUGCCUGUAGUCCCAGCUACCCGGGAGGCUGAGGCAGGAGGAUCACUGGAGCCCAGGAGUUCUGGGCUAUAAUGUGCUAUGCCCAUCGGGUGUCCAUACUCAGUUCAGCAUCAAUAUGGUGACCUCCUAGGAGCAGGGACCAUCAUGUUGCCUCUGGAGGGGUAAACCGGCCUAGGUCAGAAACGGAGCAGGUCAAAACUCCUAGGUUGAUCAGUAGUGGAACCGCCCCUGUAAACAGCCAUUGCCCUCCAGCCUGGGCAACAUGGUGAGAUCACAUCUCU
This 298-nucleotide signal recognition particle RNA is filed under the name Microcebus murinus (gray mouse lemur). Its description in RNAcentral is "Metazoan signal recognition particle RNA (ENSMICG00000042991.1)". It matches the Rfam family "Metazoan signal recognition particle RNA". From Rfam's summary of the family: The signal recognition particle (SRP) is a universally conserved ribonucleoprotein. It is involved in the co-translational targeting of proteins to membranes. Lineage: Eukaryota; Metazoa; Chordata; Mammalia; Primates; Cheirogaleidae. The record is from RNAcentral.